This 253-nucleotide ribosomal RNA is filed under the name uncultured bacterium. Its description in RNAcentral is "partial 16S ribosomal RNA". It matches the Rfam family "Bacterial small subunit ribosomal RNA", at positions 524 to 776 of the family's 1533-position model. The record is from RNAcentral.
UACGUAGGGGGCAAGCGUUGUCCGGAUUCAUUGGGCGUAAAGAGCGUGUAGGCGGCCUGGUAGGUCAGCUGUGAAAACUCGAGGCUCAACCUCGAGACGUCGGUUGAAACCACCUGGCUAGAGUCCGGAAGAGGAGUGUGGAAUUCCCGGUGUAGCGGUGAAAUGCGCAGAUAUCGGGAAGAACACCCGUGGCGAAGGCGGCACUCUGGGACGGUACUGACGCUGAGACGCGAAAGCGUGGGGAGCGAACAGG